UGCCUCUCAGGGUUGCACCUGGAGAGUUUCCAGGACUCUUACCAGUCUCAACUAUGGGAAGGAGAGUCAAGCAGAGGCAUAUCCAUUCCAUUCCUGGCUUGGGCAGUGGCUAGCGAGUGGAAGGCAAUCUGCUACAAGU
Molecule: small nucleolar RNA, 139 nt
Filed under: Ornithorhynchus anatinus (platypus)
Lineage: Eukaryota; Metazoa; Chordata; Mammalia; Monotremata; Ornithorhynchidae
Source: RNAcentral